ACGUACUGGUCAACAAGGAAGAUCAAUCUACUAAACGCAUUUUAAAAACUUUGCUCACUCAAACACAUAAAGGAGCAACAAGCAUCACAUCAAAACAUAUGCACCAGCAUGUAUGCAUAAUAAUAUUGCUAAGCCUUAUGAUAAAUUUUAAUUUUAAAAAAUAUAUUAUUUUUCCUAUAUUUUUAUGAGCACAAAAAUAUAAAAUUAAAUAAUUUUAUCUAUAUUUCAAAAGGAGUAAAUUUGAGGGUGUUACAAUUCUACCCCCUUAAGAUGAAUCUCGUCCUCGAGAUUCGGAAGACAGUGAUCAAAGAGAUAUGGAUACUCUGCCUUUGGAUGUUGUUCACUUCCUUGAGUUGUUCCAUCCUCUUGUAGAGAUUUUGGCUUUACGUUGCACCCUCUAGUAAUCUAUCUCCAAGUGAUAGCACUUUUUGAAGUCAUAACCUUGUUCAAUACCAAACCAAUGAUGAUGUCAACAACUUAGAAUCAACUUAGUGAAGAUUCUUCUUAGGUUCUUAUGAUCCACCUUGAUGACAUUUUUUUAUUUUUUUUAUGUCUAAGAAGAUAGUACUUCCAUGCUCCACAUCACGUCUCACGUACAUGCUAAGUAUGGUGAAAAUUGAUCUCACAACUAAGGGUGGCUCGAACCAAAGAUCAAUCUUGACAAAACUUAAACUUCUUAUAGAUGACCAUAAUCAUAGAAUAUCUCAGAAGACAAUUAUCACUUCAAAAUAGUAUUAUAAUGCAUCAUCCCGUAAUACCAAGGUGCUACCCCCUUAAAAUGAGAUUGGUUGGGGGACACUAAGGACUAGUUCUCCUAUCCUUUUUGACGCUACACAUCAUAGUCUUUUACAUUCGUUGUACCGAGUCUCUUGAUCCAAGGUUAGUUUCAUCACUAAGUUCCAAUUAUCGGUACCUUUAUCACAGUUAAGUUGCUUCACUCUCACACUAUACAUACACUCUGUAGACUUUGGUGUCAUCUGAUCCUCAUACACAACUCUUAAUCCAUGAGUAUCAGUAAUGACAUAAACCUUCAUUGGUAUUAGCACACUCCAAAUAGAAUGAUAUCUUGAAACAAACCAACAUACUAAGCACUUGAUGUCCUUGUAGAUGUUCCAGUUAUUAACCACUUCUUCUCCUUGUAGUUCUUUAAUUGGGCUACCCCCCUUAAGAAAAGUCAACUAGGGGACCAAGAAAGGUAGUUUGCAUACUUUCCAGACAAGUUAACAUUGAGAACUUCUGACAUCCCAAAGAACUUAUGUGCAGUGGAGCAAACAGGUAUCCUGAAAUUUCCUCACGAUAUGAAAAAUACAAGCAUAGUAAAGUAGGUAUAACUCUUAUUCUGUUAAUCCAAUAGAGUUGCAGAUUAUAUCGUUAGAAAAUUUAUGAAAUUCCCUACAGCUUUCAUGUAGAAGUCCUCCUUAGGUUCUGUUUUUAAGCAUAGGUAAAAUAACCAAACAUAAUAUCCUUCCUGAUAAUAUCUCAGCAAAAGUGCAGUAACUUCCAGAAAUUAUAUCUCGAGCUACCUAACUCAUCUGGAGAUGAUCCUUACAUUUUGGAAAAGCUUAGGAAAUCCUCUACAACUUUCGUAUACCAUGUUUUUCCAGAUUCUAUCUUUAACUUGG
Molecule: long non-coding RNA, 1622 nt
Filed under: Sorghum bicolor (sorghum)
Lineage: Eukaryota; Viridiplantae; Streptophyta; Magnoliopsida; Poales; Poaceae
Description: long non-coding RNA (SBIC_LNC015527)
Source: RNAcentral